This 200-nucleotide long non-coding RNA is filed under the name Physcomitrium patens. RNAcentral describes it as "long non-coding RNA (PPAT_LNC001074)". The record is from RNAcentral. Lineage: Eukaryota; Viridiplantae; Streptophyta; Bryopsida; Funariales; Funariaceae.
ACUUAAAAUCUGCUCGUCCAAUACUUUCUUCAAAUUUGUAGUAGCUUCAAUAUGUAAUUGUAAUUUAUAAGCAGGAGCCUUUCUUUUUUCUUUUUUAAGUUCCCUUUCCUUUGUAGAAAUGUUCUCUAUUGUCUCUUCAUGAAUAGGAUUCUUUUAUUGUUGUGUUUUUUCUCCCCUUGUAGUUCUUUUUGAAGGCCCUU